This is a long non-coding RNA of Labeo rohita (rohu), 957 nucleotides long. RefSeq lists it as uncharacterized. The record is from RefSeq and is a predicted model, not a curated record. The transcript has 3 exons. Lineage: Eukaryota; Metazoa; Chordata; Actinopteri; Cypriniformes; Cyprinidae.
UUUUCUCAGACUCUUUUCAGUGGAAUCAGAGGUGUGUUGUUGGUAUUCGCCGUGCUUGAGUUUAUCAUCUCCAUCUUUCUGUCAGCAUUUGCCUGUAAAGCCAACGCAUGCUGUUGUCCUCCUCAGGCGCAGUAUGCUCCUUUACCUCCACAGCCCUCUGAUUUUAGACCCAGUCAUUUCUAUGGUCUUAACAGCUCAGAGAUACCUGCGUCCAGCAGCUCAUCCAUUCAUCACCAGCCUGCAGAAAUUCCCCCACAAUACAAUGAAUCCAAAUAAAUAUGAAUAAGUGGACAGUGUUAUCUUAUGAAAUCUAGGAAUGUAUUGGAAAAGAUAAUGCAAUAUAUAUUAAAUGGUGCACUUCCAUAUAUGAGACACUAGUGUUCACAUUUUCAGUAUAUUGCAAUGUAUUCAUGUACGGCUAUAUAUUCAUACCUAUACAAAAUUACAAAAUCUUUACAUGUAAUAGCUUUACGACACUCAAUUUCUCUUUUAAGAGUUAAUGCUUGGGUUUACAUAUAGCUGAACACAUUUUUAAAUUUUACAUUUUUAAAACUUUUUAUCACUUUACUCUUUGCUUAAUUACACAUAUGAAAACGUGUGAUGUAUAAAAGGAAAGCGUUUACUGAAAAACAUGGAAAGUGUUUUUUUUUUUUUUGAUUACUGGAUCUCUAGUUAAAAUCAUGGCAACAUGGUGGAUGGAAAAUGAGAUUUGACAUUUAUAACUCAAGUGCUUUAUGUACUGUAUCAAUACAAAUACAUAAUAUGUUCCUCAUAAUUGUAAUCUGUCAGAAUGAAGUAUACUUAAAUGACAAAAAUGACCAAAAUGACAGCACAGAUCUGGGUACAUUUUGUUUUUUAAUCAGAUGAUAAAGGACAGCUAAAAGACAUUAACACGCCAGGGUGUUGAUUGUUGUAGAAUUUUCCUUGUUCAAAAUAAAUUUCUCUGAAGAGGUGUCA